UACGAAGGGGGCUAGCGUUGUUCGGAAUUACUGGGCGUAAAGCGCGCGUAGGCGGCUUUGUAAGUUAGAGGUGAAAGCCCGGAGCUCAACUCCGGAAUUGCCUUUAAGACUGCAUCGCUAGAAUCAUGGAGAGGUGAGUGGAAUUCCGAGUGUAGAGGUGAAAUUCGUAGAUAUUCGGAAGAACACCAGUGGCGAAGGCGACUCACUGGACAUGUAUUGACGCUGAGGUGCGAAAGCGUGGGGAGCAACAGG
Molecule: ribosomal RNA, 252 nt
Filed under: uncultured bacterium
Lineage: Bacteria
Description: partial 16S ribosomal RNA
Rfam family: Bacterial small subunit ribosomal RNA
Source: RNAcentral